AUUAUACCUAUUUACUACCAUGACUGCAUGCAAUCUGUAACUGUUUUAUAUCUUUUAAUCAUGGUACAUGUACAUGAUGUACAUUGAACUAUUAUGUCUAUACGAUUAUUUUGUGUUUAUAUGUUCAAUUGUUGUAUGUUUGCUUUUUGUCGAGCCUUCGACUUUAGUCGAAAAAGCGAGACAUAGCGAUCCUACAUUCUGUCGGCGGCGGCGGCGUCCACAAAUAUUCACUCUGUGGUUAAAGUUUUUGAAAUUUUAAUAACUUUCUUAAACUAUCCUUGAAUUGUACGAAACUUGGACAGAAGCUUGUUUAUGUUCAUAAGAUAGUAUCCAG
Molecule: long non-coding RNA, 334 nt
Filed under: Mytilus galloprovincialis (Mediterranean mussel)
Lineage: Eukaryota; Metazoa; Mollusca; Bivalvia; Mytilida; Mytilidae
Source: RNAcentral